RNAcentral lists this transfer RNA (83 nucleotides) under Zooshikella harenae. RNAcentral's name for it is "tRNA-Leu". It matches the Rfam family "tRNA". Rfam says of the family: Transfer RNA (tRNA) molecules are approximately 80 nucleotides in length. Their secondary structure includes four short double-helical elements and three loops (D, anti-codon, and T loops). Further hydrogen bonds mediate the characteristic L-shaped molecular structure. tRNAs have two regions of fundamental functional importance: the anti-codon, which is responsible for specific mRNA codon recognition, and the 3' end, to which the tRNAs corresponding amino acid is attached (by aminoacyl-tRNA synthetases). tRNAs cope with the degeneracy of the genetic code in two manners: having more than one tRNA (with a specific anti-codon) for a particular amino acid; and 'wobble' base-pairing, i.e. permitting non-standard base-pairing at the 3rd anti-codon position. Lineage: Bacteria; Pseudomonadati; Pseudomonadota; Gammaproteobacteria; Oceanospirillales; Zooshikellaceae. The record is from RNAcentral.
GCCGAAGUGGUGGAAUUGGUAGACACGCUGCCUUCAGGUGGCAGUGCCCUUUGGGCGUGGGAGUUCGAGUCUCCCCUUCGGCA